UCACACCUGUAAGUGCAGCACUUUGGGAGGCCAGGGCAGGCAGAUCACUUGAGGUCAGGAGUUUGAGACCAGCCUGGCCAAUAUGGUGAAAUCCCAUCUCUACUAAAAAAUACAAAAAUUAGCCAGGUGUGGUGGUGCCCGUCUGUAAUCCCAGCUACUCUGGAGGCUGAGGCGGGAGAAUCACUUGAACCUGGGAGGCGGAGGUUGCAAUGAGCCGAGAUCACACCACUGCACUCCAGCCUGGGCGACACAGCAAGACUCCAUCUCAAAAAAGAGCUACUAUAAAAUAGUUAAAAAAAAAAAAGAAAAGAAAAGAAAAGGAAACCUCUCCAGGAAAUGGGGAAGAACACAAUGGAAAACUUCAGAAGAGGCACUGCCAAUGGGCCAGUCCACGAAGUGCAGCACACGGCGCCAGCAGGACAUGGCAGCACCCAUUCAACAGGCAGUAUGUCAGACGGGAGCAAAGCGUCCUCCCCUUCAUGGCUUCAGGAAUGUAACUUUGCUAUAACUUUGGGAAUAGAUCUCUCAAUAACUAUUGAAAUUUAAAUGUUAAAUAUGCAUACCCUUUGACCCACUAACACCAUUUAGCUCCCCUUCAUGGGAAUCUAGCCUGUAGAAAUGAAAGAAAGUGUCAGGACCCAUGCAUAGGAAUGUGUCUCUCAGUACAAACUGUGGCAAAAAAACAGACACAAAAUGAAAUCCAUCAAUGGGGAAUGGUUGACUAAAUAUGUUGUAUCCUCAGUACGGACUAUUAUGUAAACAUAAAAAGAAUAAAUUUUUGCCUGUAACCCAGCAUAAAUAAUAAUUUUUAAAAGUGCAUUAGUUUAGCAAAAACGUGACAGGGAUGUCAGUGAAACACCUUUGUGUUACAACUGUCAUUUUGUACACCUUGGACAAUUCCAUUCAACGAACAAUUUAGUUAGUUUUGAAGUCUCAAUAACAUAGUCAGAAAAGAAACUGCUGUAAUCUCCCCUUAUCCAUGGAUUCAGUAACCCUCGGUGAACUGCAGUUCAAAAACAUGUGCGUACAAUACAGUAAGAUAUUUUAGGAGAGAGACAUCACUUUCACAUGACUUUUAUUACAGUAUAUUGUUACGACUGUUCUAUUUUAUUAUUAGCUGUUAUUAAUCUCUUCCUGUGCCUAGUUUAUGAAUUAAACUUUAUCGUAGAUAUGGAAGGAUGCAUAACAAAACAGUGUAUAUAGUGUUCACUACUAUCCUUGAUUUCAGGCAUCCAUUGAGGGUGUUGGACCGUAUCCCCUGAAGAUAAGGUGGGGCGACUGCACGUGGAUUGAGAGGUGCCCUCACUGCUGCAGAGCUGUGGUAACAACACUCACUUGUGGUUCCCAGACAAGACUCUAUCUGGUCGUGAGCCCCCAACAGCCAGUGGUACUGCUGUCCAAUCUGACAGAUGGAAACCAGCGCCAAUCAGCCUGCCUGGAGCGGCACAAAUAAGCCUAAGACUCAAACUUUCAGCCAGUUAACUGUAAGUAAAC
RNAcentral lists this long non-coding RNA (1494 nucleotides) under Homo sapiens (human). RNAcentral's name for it is "HSALNT0197720". The record is from RNAcentral. Lineage: Eukaryota; Metazoa; Chordata; Mammalia; Primates; Hominidae.